CAGCAGCCACGGGAAUACGAAGGGGGCUAGCGUUGUUCGGAAUUACUGGGCGUAAAGCGCACGUAGGCGGACAUUUAAGUCAGGGGUGAAAUCCCGCAGCUCAACUGCGGAACUGCCUUUGAUACUGGGUAUCUUGAGUAUGGAAGAGGUUAGUGGAAUUGCGAGUGUAGAGGUGAAAUUCGUAGAUAUUCGCAGGAACACCAGUGGCGAAGGCGGCUAACUGGUCCAUAACUGACGCUGAGGUGCGAAAGCGUGGGGAGCAAACAGGAUUAGAUACCCCAGUAGUCCCUGUCUCUUAUAC
Molecule: ribosomal RNA, 301 nt
Filed under: uncultured bacterium
Lineage: Bacteria
Description: partial 16S ribosomal RNA
Rfam family: Bacterial small subunit ribosomal RNA
Source: RNAcentral